CUCAACUGGUUUUCCACCGUCUCUCUGCCGCUCCGGCUUCCUCGACCUCCUGCCCCCCCUCCCCUGCCUUUCUACAUAGAUCGACUCUCCAGCGUCUUCGCCGCCGCUCCGCUUUCGUCUUGACAACGUACUGCUGUAGUGCACUCGCACCGCGUCGUCGUCGCAUAUAAGCGCAGACACACUCUCGGUCGCUUCCUUUAUAGUUCUCCACGAUUUCAUACACACCUUGACUCUGCACCACACCCAGGAACACCUCGCGGCUCUCCCGCUGCAUCUUCCCCUACCCUUUUGAGUGUUGCUGUGCUGACUCCUUCGUGGUGUCGCCACGCACGCAUCACACCCCCUCAUUUCGCCUUUUUUCUUUGCUGUGAACUCGCAAUCCCCUCAUAGAGCAGCUAGCCCUCCUCCUUCAUCACUCCACGCACACACACACACACACACACACACACGAAGGCUUCAGUGGACACCGUUCACCCUAUUGCGCAAGAACACAGGCGCGCUUCCCGGUUCGCCCCUCCUCUGCUCUGUCUUCAGCUUACUAGCAGCAUCCACAGCGCAGGAUAACACGCGUUGUGUGACCGCCGUUGCUCAGACGUGCCGCGCCGCUCUACUUGUUUUUUUUUCCCGCUCUGUUCUGUCGCAUGGAAACCAUGUCCGAUUCGGCUCCGAUGAUCAUCAAGCGCAAUGGCGAGGCGCAACCGUACGAUGCUUGCAAGAUCCGCCGCCGCUUCGAGCGGGUGAUGGAGGGGCUCGACCGCGACCAUCUCGACGUGGACAUGCUGACGGAGAAUGUGACGCGCGGCUUGACGGACCAGAUCCGCUACGACAAACUGGACGAGCUCGUGGCGCAGACGGCGGCGUACUCGGUCACAAAGCACCCGGACUACGGCCGCAUGGGCGGUCGCCUGUGCACAACAUCACUGCACAAGCAGACGAAUGAGUCGCUGCUGGAGACGUUCCGCCUUCUGCACGACCACGUCACGGUGCAGACAAACCGUCCCGCUCCACUGAUCGCCGACGAUGUGUGGGAGGUUAUGCAGCAGCACCACAAGGAACUUCAGAGCAUGAUUGACUACUCCCGCGAUUUGAACUUCGAGUUCUUUGGGUACAAGACGCUGGAGCGCUCGUACCUGCUGCGUAUCGAGACCGGAAGGGGUGAGAUGCGAAUUGUGGAGCGCCCACAGCAGAUGUUCAUGCGUGUCGCUCUUGGCAUUCACGGCGCAGAUCUCAAGAAUGUGCGUGAGACGUACGACCUUAUGUCCAAGGGCUUCUUCACCCACGCCACCCCGACCCUCUUUAACGCCGGCACCCCCAAGCCGCAAAUGAGCUCGUGCUUCCUGGUGGCGUCGAAGGAAGACAGCAUCGACGGCAUCUACGACACGCUGAAGGAGUGUGCCGUGAUCAGCAAAGCGGCCGGCGGCAUUGGUCUGCACGUGCACAACAUCCGCGCGGCGGGCAGCUACAUAGCUGGUACGAACGGCACGUCGAACGGGCUCGUGCCAAUGCUACGCGUCUUCAACAACACCGCCCGCUACGUGGACCAGGGCGGCGGUAAGCGCAAGGGCGCCUUCGCCGUCUAUCUCGAGCCCUGGCACGCUGACGUCUUUGGCUUUCUGCUGCUGAAACGCAACACGGGAAAAGAUGACCAGCGCGCCCGCGACCUCUUCUACGCGCUGUGGAUCCCAGAUCUGUUUAUGAGACGUGUGAAAAGCGAGGGGAAGUGGACGCUGAUGGAUCCCAACACGUGCCCGGGUCUCAGCGAUUGCUAUGGUGAAGAGUUUGAGCGGCUCUACGAGCGCUACGAGUCCGAGGGCCGCGGCGUCAAGACGAUCCAGGCCCAGGAGGUGUGGUUUGCUAUCCUGGAGUCUCAGAUCGAGACGGGAGGGCCGUUCAUCCUCUACAAGGACGCAUGCAACAGCAAGUCGAACCAGAAGAAUCUUGGCACGAUCAAGUGCUCGAACCUAUGCACGGAGAUUGUCGAGUACACGUCGCCACAGGAGACGGCGGUGUGCAACCUCGCCUCCAUCGCGCUGCCGCGCUUCGUCGACGUUGAGAAGCGUGAGUUCAACCACCAGCUUCUCUACACCGUGACAAAGCAGAUCACACGUAACCUAAACCGGGUUAUUGACCGCAACUACUACCCGGUCGAGACGGCGCGCCGCAGUAACAUGCGCAACCGCCCCAUCGGCCUCGGCGUGCAGGGGCUCGCGGACGCCUUCAUCCUCAUGCGACUGCCGUUUGUCUCGGCGGAGGCGCAGCGGGUGAACGCAGAGAUCUUCGAAACGAUCUACUUUGCUGCUGUCGAGUCGUCGAUGGAGCUGGCGAAGGAGGAUGGCCCGUACGAGACCUUCACGGGCAGCCCGGCCAGCGAGGGCAUUCUGCAGUUCGACAUGUGGAAGAACGCGCGGCCCAACAGCGGUCGCUGGGACUGGGCCAGCCUCAAGGAGAAGGUGAUGCAGGUGGGCAUGCGCAACUCUCUGCUGGUUGCCCCCAUGCCAACCGCGUCCACCUCGCAGAUUCUCGGCAAUAAUGAGUGCUUCGAGCCCUUCACCUCGAACAUCUACGUCCGCCGUGUGCUGAGCGGCGAGUUCCCUGUUGUGAACAAGUACCUCGUCAUGGACCUUAUUGCGCGUGGUCUAUGGAACGAGUCGAUGCGGAACGAGAUCAUCUCCUACAACGGCUCUAUCCUCACUAUUAACGGCAUGCCGGACGACCUGAGGGAGCUUUACCGGACCGUGUGGGAGAUUCCACAGCGCAAGCUGAUAGACAUGGCACGCGACCGCGGCCAGUACAUUGACCAGUCGCAGUCGCUGAACCUCUUCCUCCAGAGCCCCACCUCCGGCCAGAUCACGUCCAUGCUCUUCUAUUGCUGGGAAGCUGGACUGAAGACUGGCGUCUACUACCUGCGCACCAAGGCCGCGGCGGACGCGAUCAAGUUCACCGUGGACGCGAAGCGAAUGAAGGAGAUCCAGGAGAGGGAGAACUCGCAGCAGACCAUGUCCUCGCACCGCGCUUCACAGCCCGAGGAGUGCCUGAACUGCGGAUCCUAAGUAGAUGACGCGACGAUACCCGAUAGUUCUCCAGCCUCAAGGCUCAGAAGGGCGACUUCGGCCCGCCUGAUCGCCUCUCUCCUGGGCGCAGCGCGAUCCUGUGCGCUGUCCCUCUUCUCUCUUGAGGUGCUCUACCAUAGAACUACGUUUUAAAUUUUAUGGCUUGCUUUCGAGCUUCUCAUGAUACGAACGAUUCCCCAUUCUAGCGUCUGCGUCCGUGUGUGCCGCAACAUAUGCGUGGGUGUGUAACUCUUCCUCUUUCAUCUCCUGCCACCUUUCCCCCUUCUCUGCUCAUCUAUGUGCGUGAGUUUUUGAGAAAGGCCAUCGAGCAGCCACACCAUAUAUAUGAGCCAAAACAAACGCCUUGCAGAAUGCCGUUCCCGAAAAUGGGUGAAGGUAAAAGGGGCGGGGGUGGGGGGAUUGGUGAAGCAGCAAGCAAGCGUGUGCCUCCACAUUCGUGCUUCUCUCACACACACACACUCGUCUCCUCCCUUCUGUCCUUGCCCACACCCUCCCCCCUCCCCGUUCUCCCGCGGUGCUGCAGAGUGCGUUGAUGCCGCGUGUUUUUAUUGUGGGCGCGUGGAUUUCCUUUUUGCCCCUUCUCAAGCUUUCCUCCCCCUCCUCCUUUCCCUCUUCUUGGGUGCUUUCUGUCAUGCGUUGCACCUCAG
Molecule: unclassified non-coding RNA, 3718 nt
Filed under: Leishmania donovani
Lineage: Eukaryota; Euglenozoa; Kinetoplastea; Trypanosomatida; Trypanosomatidae
Description: gene:LdHU3.28.1160(CDS-product:ribonucleoside-dip hosphate_reductase_large_chain_putative)
Source: RNAcentral